CGCUCCUUGCUGCAAACUAUUUCCACGUGAUCUAUAUAUGUCAACUUAUCAAGAUUUUGAAAAACCGGGCAGCAUUCUUGAAAGACAAAGAACAGGAUUAAGGUAAUAUUUUACAUCAUCGUAUGCGGCUGUUUGCAAAGACUAAAUAUACCUUUUUAAAGAUCACAUGUAGUGAGAGGAAUUUGACAUAAUAAGGUUUGCUUAGGCAUACCAUGCUGGAGGGAUUUACCAGGGUAUUUAUUCUUUAAGAAGAAUUAAAACAAAGAAGUCCAAGUGAUCCAAAUGCCAAAAGUGCCAAACAUGAUUUUCAAAGGAAGAAGGAUAUUGUGAUUUUUUUUUUUUUAAUUUCAAUUGUGACAAAUUUUUUCUGUUAAGAAGACUUUUAUUGACUGUGCGGAUGUUUACAACAGUUCAUGGAUUAUAUUUGUGUAAAAAAUUUAAACUAAUUAAAACUGUAGGAA
Long non-coding RNA from Saccostrea cuccullata (small rock oyster), 461 nucleotides. RefSeq lists it as uncharacterized. The transcript is spliced from 3 exons. NCBI's taxonomy places the organism in Eukaryota, Metazoa, Mollusca, Bivalvia, Ostreida, Ostreidae. The record is from RefSeq and is a predicted model, not a curated record.